UAAGGAAUAUUGGUCAAUGGACGAAAGUCUGAACCAGCCAUGCCGCGUGAAGGAUGAAGGUCCUCUGGAUUGUAAACUUCUUUUAUCUGGGACGAAAAAAGGGCAUUCAUGCUCACUUGACGGUACCAGAGGAAUAAGCACCGGCUAACUCCGUGCCAGCAGCCGCGGUAAUACGGAGGGUGCAAGCGUUAUCCGGAUUCACUGGGUUUAAAGGGAGCGUAGGUGGGCAGGUAAGUCAGUGGUGAAAUCUCCGGGCUUAACCCGGAAACUGCCAUUGAUACUAUCUGUCUUGAAUAUCCUGGAGGUAAGCGGAAUAUGUCAUGUAGCGGUGAAAUGCUUAGAUAUGACAUAGAACACCCAUUGCGAAGGCAGCUUACUACGGGAUGAUUGACACUGAGGCUCGAAAGCGUGGGGAUCAAACAGG
Molecule: ribosomal RNA, 424 nt
Filed under: uncultured bacterium
Lineage: Bacteria
Description: bacterial SSU rRNA
Rfam family: Bacterial small subunit ribosomal RNA
Source: RNAcentral